RNAcentral lists this unclassified non-coding RNA (322 nucleotides) under uncultured soil eukaryote. RNAcentral's name for it is "sequence contains 5.8S rRNA gene, ITS2, 28S rRNA gene". The stretch from base 1 to 52 matches the Rfam family "5.8S ribosomal RNA", at positions 103 to 154 of the family's 154-position model. The record is from RNAcentral.
AACGCACAUUGCGCCUUGUGGUAUUCCGCAAGGCAUGCCUGUUUGAGCGUCAGCAAAAACCUCAAGUAGAUUGGUCUUUUUUUUAAGACUUAAUCUAUCUUGGAAUUUUUAUCAAGCAAGCAAUUUCCAUUUUGGGGUUUUGCUGCUUGGAAAAUCAUAAGAUGGUCAAAAGUUUUUUUCUUUUACCAAACGUAAUAAGGUUUUUUGUUAAUCUAAUUCGUUUGAUAUAAUAAAAAGAAUAAGAACUCCAUCUUUUGAACCCACUUAUAAUUUUUUUGCUUGACUUGACCUCAAAUCAGGUAGGGAUACCCGCUGAACUUAA